AGUGAACGCUGGCGGUAUGCCUAAUACAUGCAAGUCGAACGGAAGCACAGUAAGAGCGCGCUCCUACGGGUGGCGAGUGGCGGACGGGUAAGGCAUACAUCACAUUCUACUUUGUCGGGGGGGAUAACGGAAGGCAAGUGACGCUAACAGCGCAUAUGACGUACGGGAGGAAGCAGGGGAGCUUGACGGUUUGGGUGACUCUAAUAGCCGAUGUCGGAUUAGCUAGUUGGCGAGGUAAAGGCCCACCAAGGCGACGAUCCGUAGCUGGCCUGAGAGGAUGAUCAGCCACACUGGAACUGAGACACGGUCCAGACUCCUACGGGAGGCAGCAGUGGGGAAUAUUCCGCAAUGGGCGCAAGCCUGACCCAGCAACACCGCGUGGGUGAAGAAGGCCUUCGGAUUGUAAAGCCCUGUUGUUGGGAAAGAACAGAAGCAGAUUAAUCCAUGGCUGUUCUGACGGUACCCAAAGAAUAAGCCCCGGCUAACUUCGUG
RNAcentral lists this ribosomal RNA (492 nucleotides) under uncultured bacterium. RNAcentral's name for it is "partial 16S ribosomal RNA". It matches the Rfam family "Bacterial small subunit ribosomal RNA", at positions 29 to 507 of the family's 1533-position model. The record is from RNAcentral.